UGUGUGUGUGUGUGUGUGUGUGUGUGUGUGUGUGUAAAAGAAAUCCUCACGAAAAUUCACCAACAUUUGACACAAAUUCCUCCCAACACACACACACACACACACACACACAUU
This 114-nucleotide microRNA precursor is filed under the name Podarcis lilfordi (Lilford's wall lizard). Lineage: Eukaryota; Metazoa; Chordata; Lepidosauria; Squamata; Lacertidae. The record is from RNAcentral.